This 560-nucleotide ribosomal RNA is filed under the name Aspergillus sp. SQU-KH03. RNAcentral describes it as "eukaryotic LSU rRNA". The stretch from base 192 to 345 matches the Rfam family "5.8S ribosomal RNA". The record is from RNAcentral. Lineage: Eukaryota; Fungi; Ascomycota; Eurotiomycetes; Eurotiales; Aspergillaceae.
GGAUCAUUACCGAGUGUAGGGUUCCUAGCGAGCCCAACCUCCCACCCGUGUUUACUGUACCUUAGUUGCUUCGGCGGGCCCGCCAUUCGUGGCCGCCGGGGGCUCUCAGCCCCGGGCCCGCGCCCGCCGGAGACACCACGAACUCUGUCUGAUCUAGUGAAGUCUGAGUUGAUUGUAUCGCAAUCAGUUAAAACUUUCAACAAUGGAUCUCUUGGUUCCGGCAUCGAUGAAGAACGCAGCGAAAUGCGAUAACUAGUGUGAAUUGCAGAAUUCCGUGAAUCAUCGAGUCUUUGAACGCACAUUGCGCCCCCUGGUAUUCCGGGGGGCAUGCCUGUCCGAGCGUCAUUGCUGCCCAUCAAGCACGGCUUGUGUGUUGGGUCGUCGUCCCCUCUCCGGGGGGGACGGGCCCCAAAGGCAGCGGCGGCACCGCGUCCGAUCCUCGAGCGUAUGGGGCUUUGUCACCCGCUCUGUAGGCCCGGCCGGCGCUUGCCGAACGCAAAUCAAUCUUUUUCCAGGUUGACCUCGGAUCAGGUAGGGAUACCCGCUGAACUUAAGCAUAU